Molecule: ribosomal RNA, 253 nt
Filed under: uncultured bacterium
Lineage: Bacteria
Description: partial 16S ribosomal RNA
Rfam family: Bacterial small subunit ribosomal RNA
Source: RNAcentral
UACGAGGGGGGCAAAUGUUGUUCGGAAUCACUGGGCGUAAAGGGAGCGUAGGCGGGUUUCUAAGUCAGGUGUUUAAUCCCGGGGCCCAACCCCGGACAGGCACUUGAAACUGGGAAUCUUGAAUAGUGGAGAGGUCAGUGGAAUUGGGGGUGUAGCGGUGAAAUUCGUAGAUAUUCGCAAGAACACCAGUGGCGAAGGCGGCUUACUGGUCCGGUUCUGACGCUGAGGCGCGAAAGCGUGGGGAGCAAACAGG